CCACCCUUGAAGAGCCUGCCUCCACUACCCCCCACCCCGCACCAAGGCCUUUCCCAGGGGAGGCCACUGGGCGGGGCUUCCUGGACGGCUGCGUGACGUCAUAGGGAGGCGUGCCCGGAGUCCGCCUCUGCUUCCUAAUUGGGGGACGCGGGGCGGCGGCGGACACGCUCAGCGGCGCGGCCGUCGGAGCAGCUGCGCUGCGAUGUGUUCCCCGGGGCCGGCAUCCCGACCCUGGCGCCGCGGCAGCAGCUUCAGCGCGCCCGGAUACCCCGGGGCACGUUCACGGCGCACCGAGCGUUUGGCGAGGCUCAAGCCGUGCUCCGGGGAGAUGGGACGGCGGAGGUGACGCGCGCUGUGUCUAGACCGCUCCCCGCAGCGGGCGGGGCUGAGAAAGUGUGGCCAAGCUUCGGGGCGCCCACUGGAGCGCAACUAUUUUGGGUCUCUGAUCUCAGAGAGGAAAGUCCCAGAGACAGAGCCGCAUCCUCCCCCUCACUCUGCUGCACAUGCCCCGCCUCCGUCCCUCCUACCUUAAAGGUAGACUCGAAAGUGCUGCAGGACGAGGAGUCCGCAGACCUGGUUUCCAGCCCUACCUCCGAAAUGAGCCUGAACGAGAGUCCUGCCAUCUGCACCCGAGUCAGCUGCUUUGCGGAACGAAGCGAGUAUAAGUCCCAUGAGAUCUCCUUAAGGUUCACCACUCUCGGAGAAGAAAAAAGAAAGGGGAGGUGGAGAAUACCAGGAAACUGCAUGGGACAGGGGCAGAGAGGACAAGACUAACUUCACUACUAUAGAUCAUAUUUAAAGGGUCAAUAAUUAAAACAACUUGAUUUGGGUGCAGGAGACAAGCAGACGAAUGGACUGGAAUAGACUGUCCAGAAAUAGAUUCAAUGUACAGUUACUUAAUAUUUGAUAAAUGCAGCAUCUCAAAGUGGAGAAUGGAUUCUAAUAAACAGUGGGGGUU
This 958-nucleotide long non-coding RNA is filed under the name Mustela putorius furo (domestic ferret). RNAcentral describes it as "lncRNA (ENSMPUG00000029268.1)". The record is from RNAcentral. Lineage: Eukaryota; Metazoa; Chordata; Mammalia; Carnivora; Mustelidae.